This 69-nucleotide transfer RNA is filed under the name Stieleria varia. Its description in RNAcentral is "Planctomycetes bacterium Pla52n tRNA-Ser". The record is from RNAcentral. Lineage: Bacteria; Pseudomonadati; Planctomycetota; Planctomycetia; Pirellulales; Pirellulaceae.
AAUGUUUGGCGGGGAACGCUUUCGACUUGGAAAGUCGAGCGACUGUCGUUCGACUCUCCGAGUCGGUUC